CAGCUAGCCUUCUAAGCGUAUAAAUAGUUUAGGUUUCGAGUCUUUUGGUACUUUGAAUUUUACCUCUCUUGAAAGCAUUUUGGGAACUUUUGAGGUGACUAUAGAGUGGGAAGAACAACGGGAGCACAACAAGGAUUCAUUCUUGUAAUAAUUCUUCUCCUUUAAUGUUUCUACUAUUCUCUUUGUUGGCUUUAUGCUUUCCCAUG
RNAcentral lists this long non-coding RNA (206 nucleotides) under Glycine max (soybean). RNAcentral's name for it is "long non-coding RNA (GMAX_LNC002242)". Lineage: Eukaryota; Viridiplantae; Streptophyta; Magnoliopsida; Fabales; Fabaceae. The record is from RNAcentral.